Molecule: ribosomal RNA, 1434 nt
Filed under: uncultured bacterium
Lineage: Bacteria
Description: bacterial SSU rRNA
Rfam family: Bacterial small subunit ribosomal RNA
Source: RNAcentral
AGAGUUUGAUCAUGGCUCAGAACGUACGCUGGCGGCACGCCUAACACAUGCAAGUCGAACGAAGUAGCAAUACUUAGUGGCAGACGGGUGAGUAACAUGUGGGUAUCUGCCCUUUGGCCUGGAAUAACACGAGGAAACUUGUGCUAAUACCGGAUAAGUCUUUACAGAGAAAGCUUUAUGCACCAUUGGAUGAGCCCGCACUUGAUUAGUUUGUUGGUGGGGUAAUGGCCUACCAAGACUUUGAUCAAUAGCUGAUUUGAGAGGAUGAUCAGCCACAUUGGGACUGAGACACGGCCCAAACUCCUACGGGAGGCAGCAGUGGGGAAUCUUGCACAAUGGAGGAAACUCUGAUGCAGCGAUGCCGCGUGAGUGAAGAAGGCCCUUGGGCUGUAAAGCUCUUUCGUCGGGGAAGAAAAUGACUGUACCCGAAUAAGAAGGUCCGGCUAACUUCGUGCCAGCAGCCGCGGUAAUACGAAGGGAUCUAGCGUAGUUCGGAAUUACUGGGCUUAAAGAGUUCGUAGGUGGUUGAAAAAGUUGGUGGUGAAAUCCCAGAGCUUAACUCUGGAACUGCCAUCAAAACUUUUCAGCUAGAGUUUGAUAGAGGAAAGCAGAACUUCUAGUGUAGAGGUGAAAUUCGUAGAUAUUAGAAAGAAUACCAAUUGCGAAGGCAGCUUUCUGGAUCAUUACUGACACUGAGGAACGAAAGCAUGGGUAGCGAAGAGGAUUAGAUACCCUCGUAGUCCAUGCCGUAAACGAUGUGUGUUAGACGUUGGAAAUUUAUUUUCAGUGUCGCAGCGAAAGCGAUAAACACACCGCCUGGGGAGUACGACCGCAAGGUUAAAACUCAAAUGAAUUGACGGGGACCCGCACAAGUAGUGGAGCAUGUGGUUUAAUUCGAAGAUACGCGCAGAACCUUACCAACACUUGACAUGUUCGUCGCGACUUUAAGGAGAUUAAAGUUUUCGGUUCGGCCGGACGAAACACAGGUGCUGCAUGGCUGUCGUCAGCUCGUGUCGUGAGAUGUUGGGUUAAGUCCCGCAACGAGCGCAACCCUCACUUUUAGUUGCCAUCAUUAAGUUGGGCACUCUGAAAGAACUGCCAGUGAUAAGCUGGAGGAAGGUGGGGAUGACGUCAAGUCCUCAUGGCCCUUACGUGUUGGGCUACACACGUGCUACAAUGGUAUCUACAACAGGAAGCGAAACAGCGAUGUUAAGCAAAUCCUUAAAAGAUACCUCAGUUCGGAUUGCACUCUGCAACUCGAGUGCAUGAAGCUGGAAUUACUAGUAAUCGUGGAUCAGCGUGCCACGGUGAAUGCGUUCCCGGGUCUUGUACACACCGCCCGUCACACCAUGGGAGUUGGUUCUACCUUAAGGCAAGGCUUAAUACCCUUGACCACGGUAUAGUCAGCGACUGGGGUGAAGUCGUAACAAGGUA